GAUGAACGCUGGCGGCGUGCCUAACACAUGCAAGUCGAGCGAACAGACGAGGAGCUUGCUCCUCUGACGUUAGCGGCGGACGGGUGAGUAACACGUGGAUAACCUACCUAUAAGACUGGGAUAACUUCGGGAAACCGGAGCUAAUACCGGAUAAUAUAUUGAACCGCAUGGUUCAAUAGUGAAAGACGGUUUUGCUGUCACUUAUAGAUGGAUCCGCGCCGCAUUAGCUAGUUGGUAAGGUAACGGCUUACCAAGGCAACGAUGCGUAGCCGACCUGAGAGGGUGAUCAGCCACACUGGAACUGAGACACGGUCCAGACUCCUACGGGAGGCAGCAGUAGGGAAUCUUCCGCAAUGGGCGAAAGCCUGACGGAGCAACGCCGCGUGAGUGAUGAAGGUCUUCGGAUCGUAAAGCUCUGUUAUUAGGGAAGAACAAAUGUGUAAGUAACUAUGCACGUCUUGACGGUACCUAAUCAGAAAGCAACGGCUAACUACGUG
Molecule: ribosomal RNA, 497 nt
Filed under: uncultured bacterium
Lineage: Bacteria
Description: partial 16S ribosomal RNA
Rfam family: Bacterial small subunit ribosomal RNA
Source: RNAcentral